RNAcentral lists this small RNA (582 nucleotides) under Arabidopsis thaliana (thale cress). Its description in RNAcentral is "ATSL102720". Lineage: Eukaryota; Viridiplantae; Streptophyta; Magnoliopsida; Brassicales; Brassicaceae. The record is from RNAcentral.
AAUCUUUCUUGAGAUAGAGCAACCCCACGAACUCUAGAGUAGAUCCUCCAGAUUCUAGGCAUAUCUAAUAUCCAAUUAGACAUCCGUUGAUGAGAGGGAUUCAGAAAUCUUCCAAUAAGACUGCAACUAUUCCUCUCAAUCGAACUUAACUGAGGUUGAUUUGAUAGAAUUAAAGGACUAUCAUCGUUGAUCGUCAUCUCAAAGAUUGCUUUAUCCAAUUCCAUAUUCAUGAUAAGAACCCCUUUAAAACACUUUCAGAAGAUACUCACAGCAACACAAUUCACAGAGAAUUGAUACAACUACAGCUGCAACUACAACCCAAAGAUCUUGACUUGAUUGAAACUCAAAAGAUUUAGAACUCCGACAGAAAACGGAAAUAUCUUCGACAAAGGCUCCGCUCCAAAACAAGAGUGCAAUAGAGGGAGAAGUUCUUAAGCCCAGCUGAAAAGGGACGGCGAACAAACGGCGAUUUGAAAUUAGAAAUUUCAGCUACUAAGAGAGAGAACAGAGAAAAUUUUUUAGUAGGUGAGUGUGUUUGGUCACCCAUUUAGGUUAGUUUGGUGUAGGAUUACUUCAUCUAAA